RNAcentral lists this unclassified non-coding RNA (240 nucleotides) under Hevea brasiliensis (rubber tree). Lineage: Eukaryota; Viridiplantae; Streptophyta; Magnoliopsida; Malpighiales; Euphorbiaceae. The record is from RNAcentral.
AAAGCAGCCUGCAAUCUUAUAGCCAUCUGCUCCUUGUUGAGAUUUGACGCCUCCAAGUGCUGAGCAAGUUCAUACAUAUCUCUUUUCAUCAUUCCAGCAUUAGCAUUAGCUUCAAACACAGUUUCAAGUAACACUCUGGAGAAUAUAUCCAAGUGCAAGUUAACUGAAUGCAUUUCACCAAGUUCUUCUUCAACCUUCCUGUAAAGCUCCUCCUGCAAGCAGAGUGAUCUUUUCAAGUCA